RNAcentral lists this ribosomal RNA (501 nucleotides) under uncultured bacterium. RNAcentral describes it as "bacterial SSU rRNA". It matches the Rfam family "Bacterial small subunit ribosomal RNA", at positions 28 to 526 of the family's 1533-position model. The record is from RNAcentral.
GAUUAACGCUGGCGGCAUGCCUAAUACAUGCAAAUCGAACGAAGCACUUGUGCUUAGUGGUGAACGGGUGAGUAACACGUAUCCAAUCUACCCUUAGGUUGGGGAUAACUGGUCGAAAGACUAGCUAAUACCGAAUAUCAAUACUCCUAUCGCAUGAGAAAGUAUUGAAAGAUCCUUUUGGAUCGCCUUUGGAUGAGGGUGCGGCAUAUCAGAUAGUUGGUGAGGUAACGGCUCACCAAGGCGACGAUGCGUAGCCGACCUGAGAGGGUGAUCGGCCACACUGGGACUGAGACACGGCCCAGACUCCUACGGGAGGCAGCAGUAGGGAAUCUUCCACAAUGGACGAAAGUCUGAUGGAGCAAUGCCGCGUGAGUGAUGAAGGUUUUCGGAUCGUAAAAUUCUUUUAUUUGGGAAGAACGACCACGAUAGGAAAUGAUCGUGGAAUGACUGUACCAUUUGAAUAAGUAUCGGCUAACUAUGUGCCAGCCGCCGCCGUAAAAC